AGGCGGCCAGCAGCCUCCGCGGGAGCAUGCCGCCUCCCGCAGGGCCCGCCGCGAGCUUCCGGGGCCCAAGGAACCAGUCCGGAGGGGCGCAGGCGGUGGUCGCAGCGUCCCCCUAAAUGGCCGGCCACGAACCCGUCUCACGGUCCCGCGGCCAGGAGCCGCCGCUCAUCUGUCUCUGCAGCCACCGCUGAGGAAGAGUCUCCUCUGAGGGGAGAGUCGGUCAUGGCAGCAGACGCCGGGAUGGCUCCGCGACUGCUACACCAGGCACUCCUGGGCCCGGGCAGCAGACCAGUCAGCCCUGUGGCUCCUCGGCGACCUCCAGCGGGCGCCCGGGGCCGGGAUGCAGGGCGCGCGGACAGAAACGAGACAGACAGCUCAGGCCCAGCAGCACGCAAGCUCCCGCGCCUUCCGCGACUGCCACACGCGCGGCGCGCGCGCACCCUACUUUUUCUCCGCCACCUGGGCCGUGAUUGGGCGCGACCUGGGCUCCUGGGUGCUCAUUGGCGCCGUGAAGUGCUCGUCACCGCCCCCUCCUGCCCCUUCAUGCAUGCGCGGAGGCCGCCUGCUAGCAAGGUUCCCACGUAACAUCACAUCAGACCCAAGGGCCCGUUCAUUGCAAGGCGAAGGAGGCAUGACAAUGGCACGUGACCAUGGGAUCACUGGUCCUGUCACAUUCUGCACCACCCAGAAGAUACUGGCUUGAACGAAGAGAAGAAAUGGGCUGUUGAAGGCGUAGCUGAGAUGCCAGCUCAGAGACGAUGAUACCAAGUGCUGAACCUGAGAGCAGCCCCAGUACACUCCCUGCAUGGGAAUCUCCAUCUCAAAGUCAGCCUCCAGGGAGCCCGCCCUGAAACAGAUUCUGUCAUGGAACUCAACAGAGUAUCCUGGUGCGGAUAACCAGUGUUGGGAGUUAGAGCACGGACUCUCUCCACCUGCACGGUGCUGGAGCUCUGCACACCCCCUCUGCAGCCAUCCCUCGCCGCUGUCCCUUAGCUGACGCCCUUGCCCUCUGUGUGUCCUUCCUCAUGGCCUGCAGGUUUCAGAUCCCAAGCUACAGAUCAUGUCUUCUAGUCUGGGCUCUGGCAGAGAGUUCGGAAGCACUCUUAUUAUCUUAGCAGCAGCAUGUGUGGAAAUCAUUUCUCAUUACAGCGGAGGGCAGGCAUUGUGCAGAGGGUUAAGUGGGCCUGCUUGAAGUUGGUUGUUGUUAGCUCUCAUGUCUAUGCCUUGGUCCCUUUCCCCUCAGGACUUGGAGAGCAAGCUGUUUGAGUCUGAUGCAACCCCUGGGCUUUGACUAUCAUGCCAAAAGGCAGCAAAUAAGUGCCUUUUCUUCCCUUCAGAAUACAUGGACAAUCCAAAGCUCUAUUAGUCUAUUAUUCAGAAUGAAAAGUGUUUACAAUAUUCGUCCUCUUACUCCUCAGUAUGUGAGACUGUUCCUCGUAGCAGGUAAUUUCUUCCGAAUUCAAAAACUCCUCAUGGAAGCAUCUGUUUUUGUCAUCAAGGAGGGGGCUGUAUGUGGAAUUGCAAGGCCAAAGACAUCUCGGGUCAACUCUUCUCAGGACCAGAUCCAAGUCGCCAGUGAGAACACACAUUCAGGCAGCCUCCACCAGCGCCCUGCCUCAGGAGCGAGGCUCCCUGCUUCAUGUGGGCAAGAGCUGCCCUUGUUUUCCCAGCGGGCAGUUGGGGGUCUGGAGCCUAGGAAGCAAAGUGAAGCACACACUCCUGCUUCCUUCCUUCCCUGCAGUUGGUGAGUAUCUGGCUCAGUUUAGGUUAAUAUCAUCUCUUCAGCCUGGCCCAGUUUACCACUAUGGGAAGGAGCCCAGCAGCAGGGGCUGCCAGACCUGGAAAUAGAUCUGCUCAUUGCAGUGUGGCAGGUGCAGAGAAACAGAGCCAGCUAUAGCUGGAAGAGAAUCUUAGGGCACAGAGAUGCACCAACAUGUAUGAACAAGUCGAGACCCAAGUACCAAGCUGUAGAGUUACUGCACCAUAGCAACCCAGGCCAGCAGGCAAGGCAAGAGGGCAGUUAUUACAGAGAGCCAUGGGGCAAGAGUGGAGCCACCUUGACAGUGGGGGUGACCAGAAGCCACAUCUAGGAGUGUUGGCCCAGAGUCUCUGCAUUUCCUCCUGCUCAGGACCUUAAGAGAGGCCCAUCUUAAAUGCCACUGUCUCCAUGAGCUUUUGGAAACCUUACCAGUUUCCUCCCCUGUUCAGGGAGUUCCACUAGGGUAACAUUCCUGCCUUCUCUCCACCCCUCUAUUACUUUGCCCCAGGGAAAAUAAAAGAUGACUGCUUGGAUAGGUAGGUGGGGAGGGGAAACUGGUCCUGUGUAGGCCAGUGGGCCCCUCCAUCACCUUGGGGGUGAGCUGCAUGCAGGGUAUAAAAUCCCACUGCUCUCGCUGAGGGGGCUGCACUCCUGCAGGACUAAAGGAGGCUUUCUCUGGUUGAGGGCUACCAUGGCUGGGCGGGUGAGCCUGCCUCCUAGUGGGAUUUGCAUUAGCAGCUCACUUAGUUCACAGGUCUAAAGCUGUGUCCUCCAGCCCAGCCCUCUAGCAGUAAUUAAGAGGAUAUUUUGGUUCCUGUUGCCACUCCUUUGUUUUAUUUCUCAGGGCCCUCAAAGACACCCCAGAAUAGAUUUCCUGUCCCCUUUAAUCUUGCCCUUCUUUGAGUCCCCAUUGCAUUUUAUGGUAUAUUUCUAGCAUGACCUUUCAUUCUUUCAGUAAUUACCUCCUUAUUUCCUUCACCCCUGCAUUUAAAAAAAAAUUUUAUAGAUGAGGUCUCACUCUGUCACCCAGGCUGGAGUGCAGUGGUGCAAUCAUAGCUCGCUGCAGCCUUAAACUCCUGGGCUCAAGCAGUCUUCCUGCCUCUGCCUCCCAAGUAGCUGGGACCACAGGUGCACAUGACCAUGCCCAGCUAACUUUUUUUUUCUUUUUUGUAGAGACGGGAGUCUUACUUUGUUGCCCAGGCUGGUCUCAAACUCCUGGCUUCAAGCAAUCCUUCCACUUUGGCCUUCCAAAGUGCUGGGAUUACAGGCAUGAGCCACCAUGCCCAGCCUCCUUCUCUUACUAGCUGAGAACUAAGAGAAGACACUCUGGAGACAGAGGAGGAAACAGUGACGAUGCCACAUGAUGAAUACAUAAUGGAGGGUGAAGACAAGGCUCCGUCAGGGGCACCAAGGAGGGAAACCCAGUUCUGUGGGGAAGGUAUGGGGCAGCUUCACAAGCCCAGUGUCUGCUCCCUUUGUGGGAGACGUGUUGUUUCAGCAUCCAUUCCCCCUUCUUUUAGGAAAAGUGCUUGAAUUUCCUUUUCAUGGAACCACCCACCUCCCUCUCAUCCAUGCAUUCUAUUCCCAGUAUCAGGGGUAGACAAGUGACUUCAGGCUUGGCCAAUUAGGGUUCUGACUCUUGGUCAAAUCAGAGUGAAUCCUGAGUCAUUUGUAAACUCCAAGGAAAGGGCUUGCUUUGUUUUCUGUUGAAUGCAGUGCUCUGAGAUAGCCGGAAAUGAAACUGCUCUCUUGCCACACUGAAGGCUAGAGAAGGGCCUGGCCAGGAAAUGAUGCCAGUGAUCAGGGGUGGAGCUGGAAGAGGGGGAGUGAGGAGGCCCAGACAUCUUGGGAGCCCCAAAUUCACCUCAGGAUUUAACUUCUCCGCUGCUCAGCCAAUAAAUUCCUUUCUUCCAUGACUAAUUUGAGUUGAGUUUUUAGUUUUUGCAACUAAAACAGCACUGACUAAUACACCCUUAGGUAAGAUUAGAGCAAGAAUUUCCAAUAUCUGUGUUCUUCAUCCUGAAAUUUGGUGAGGAUAUCUAAGGUUCUUUUGUCUUUUAAAAGAAUUCUGUUGCAAUGGAAAGUAUCAAUCCAUAUUUUUCCAUUUCUCCAAAAUGUUUUAGUGUAUAUCUAUGGGGCACAAACUUAAUCUCUGUAGGCCCUCUGCCAUAGUUGCUCUGUGCCACUUGAUAAGGGGCUGGUAUCUAGAAUAUAUAAAAACUCUUAAAACUCAGCCGGGCAUGGUGGCUCAUGCCUAUAAUCCCAGCUCUUUGGGAGGCCGAGGCAGGCGGAUCACCUGAGGUCAGGAGUUUGAGACCAGCCUGGCCAACACGGUGAAACUCUAUCUCUCUAAAAAUACAAAAAUUAGGCGGGCGUAGUGGCUCACUCAAGACUGAGGCAGAAGAACCACUUGAACCCAGGAGUUGGAGGUUUCAGUGAGCCCAGAUGGCUCCACGGCACUCCAUCCUGUGCAACAGAGUGGCACAGGAUGGCAAAAACAAACAAAAGCUCUUAAAACUCAACAAUAAAAGACAACCCACUUUAGAAAUGAGAAAAGGGCCAAGUGUGGUGGUAAUCCCAGCACUUUGGGAAGUUGAGGUGUGUAGAUUGCUUGAGCCCAGGAGUUUGAGAGCAGCCUGGGCAACAUGGCAAAACCACAUCUCUACAAAAUACAGAAAAGAAAAAAAAAAAAUCAGUCAGGUGUGGUGUUGCACACCUGUAGUCCCAGCAACCUGGAGGCUGAAGUGUGAGGAUUGCUUAAACCUAAGGAGAUAGAGGCUGCAAUGAGCUGCGAUUGUGCCACUGCACUCUACCUUGGGCAACAGAUGAAGACGCUGUCUCAAAAAAUAAGAAUAAAGAAAGAAAGAUGGGAAAAGAAUUUAUUUCUUUCCUUUUUUUUUUUUUUAGACAAGGUCUGGCUGGUCCCCCAGGCUGGAGUGCAGUGGUGCAAUCUUGGCUCACUGCAACCUCUGCCUCCCAGGUUCAAGUGAUUCUCCUGCCUCAACUUCCCGAGUAGCUGGUACUACAGGAGCAAGCCACCACACCCAGCUAAUUUUUGUAUUUUUAGUAGAGCCGGAGUUUCACCAUGUCGGCUAGGCUGGUCUCGAACUCCUGACCUCAAGUGAUCUGCCCACCUCGGCCUCCGAAAGUGCUGGGAUUACAGGUGUGAGCCACUGAACCUGGCCUUUUUUUGCUGCUGUUGUUGUUCGUUUUGUUUUGUUUUUGUUUUUGUUUUGAGAUGGAGUCUCGCUCUGUCACCCAGCCUGGAGGGCAGUGGCUCAAUUUUGGCUCACUGCCACUUCUGCCUCCUGGGUUCCAGUGAUCCUCCUGCCUCAGCCUGCUGAGUAGCUGAGACUACAGCCGAGACACCACCAUGCCUGGCUAAUUUUUUUUUUUUAAGUAGAGAUGGGGUUUCAGCAUUUUGGCCAGGCUGAUCGUGAACUCCUGACCUCAAGUGAUCUGCCCACUGCACCUGGCCUUUUUUUCUUUUUUUUUUAAUAGAGAUGAGUACAAUGGACUUUAGGGACUCAGGGUAAAGGGUGGGAAGGGGGUGAAGGAUAAAAGACUACACAUUGGGUACAGUGUGCACUGCAUAGGUGGUAGGUGCACCAAAAUCUCAGAAAUCACCACUAAACGACCUAUUCCUAUAACCAAACACCACCUGUUCCCCAAAAACCUAUUGGAAAAAAAAAAACUCACGUAAGUAAAUAAAUAGAGGCCAGGAGCAGUGGCUCACACCUGUAAUCCCAGCACUUUGGGAGGCCGAAGUGGGCAGAUCACCUGAGGUUGGGAGUUUGAGACCAGCCUGGCCAACAUGGAGAAAUCCUGUCUCUACUAAUAAUACAAAAAUUAGGUGGGCAUGGUGGCACAUGCCUGUAAUCCCAGCUACUUGGGAGGCUGAGGCAGGAGAAUCACUUGAACCUGGGAGAUGGAGGUUGCAGUGAGCAAAGAUCACCCCAUUGCACUCCAGCCUGGGUGACGAGCGAAACUCCAUCAAAAGAAGAAAAAAAAGAAAGGAAAGAAAGAUGCGGUCUGGUGGUGCUGCCCAGGCUGGAGUGCAGUGGCUAUUCAUAGGUAUGAUCAUAGUGCACUGCAGCCUCAAGACUCUUGGGUUCCAGUGGUCCUCCUGCCUCAGCCUCCUGUGUAGCUGGUACUACAGGCUACAGCUAAACUGCUCAGUUCCUCAGUCCUUCUUCAUCUCCCACAGUGGAUACAGAGCGUGGCAGCCCCCUCUCAGGAAGUCAUGGAUCUUUAUGGCUGGCAGGACUGUAAAGUCACCCAGUUCAGCCCCUCAUUUACAUAUAAGGAAACAGUCCUAUAGAGAAGGCGUGCCUUUUUAAGUCACACAUUUGAGCAAAUAAAUAAUUAUCUCCUCACACAUUUAAGAUUGCUAUUACAUCCUUUUCUCUAGAACUUUUAACCUUUCAUCCACUCAGAAUGCUUGCCUGGACCCUCUCCAAUUUCUCAAUAUCUUUCUUUUUUUUUUUUUUUUUUUUUUUUUUUUGGAGACGGAGGCUUGCUCCGUCACCUAGACUGGAGUGCAGUGGCAUGAUCUUGGCUCACUGCAACCUCUGCCUCCCAGGUUCAAGUAAUUCUCCUGCCUCAGCCUCUCAAGUAGCUGGGAUUACAGGCGCCCACCACCACGCCCGGCUAAUUUUUGUAUUUUUAAUGGAGACGGGGUUUCACCUUGUUGGCCAGGCUGGUCUCAAACUCCUGACCUCAAGUGAUCCACCCACCUCAGCUUCCCAAAGUGCUGGAAUUACAGGCGUGAGCCCUCGCGCCCAGUUCAACAUCUUUCUUAAGUGGGCCCAAGGUUGGGGGGAAAAUCUCACCGUAGAGAUAUUUGUUAGAUAUCGAGCAUGUGCUGAAGAAGGCAUCUGUGAUGAUUAAUUUUAUGUGUCAGUUGGACUGGACCAUGGGGUGCCCAGAUAUCAGCUUGAACAUUACUCUGGGUCCAUCUGUGAGGGCGUGGGGUAGGACUGGCAUUUAUGUUGGUGGAGCAAGUAAAGCAGGCUGCCUCCCUAACGCAGGGGAUCCUCAUCCAUCAGCUGAGGGCCCAAAUAGAACAAAAGGCUGAGUUGGAGGGCGCCCCUCCUGCAUGACCAACUUUCAAGUGGUGACAUCAGCUUUCUUCCUGUUUUUGGACUUGAACUGAAACAUCAGCUCUUCCUGGAUCUUCAGCCUGCUGGCCUUCAGACUAGAACUACAACCUCGGCUCUCCUGGGUCUCGGCUUGCUGACUCACCCUGCAGAACUUGGGACUUGUCAGCCUCUACAUUUGUAUGAGCCAAUUCCUUAUAAUGUCUUUCUGUAUAUAUACAUAUAUCUCCACAUCUUAUUGUUCUGCUUCUCUGGAGAACCCUGAGUAAUACAGCAUCAUUCCAAGAUCAGCAGAAAUGUUAGUGCUUCUGGGGAAUUACUGCAAAGGGUACCUGAAUAGCAGCACAUGCUCUCAGUACCCCCGCCUUCUGUUGUCUGCUGUUGCCUGCUCCCUCCCCACCCUUUGGGUUGAUUUCAGGAUAGAGAUAUGGGGAUGGGACUGGGGUUGGGUGUGCGGUUACCCAGAACAGCCAGGAUGUGUGCACGCUGUGACCCAGGAGCAUCAAGCACUGCUCAAGCUGCUUGGAAAAGAAAACAAAAGUCAGGAAAGUGAGGAGCUGGGAGGGUGCUGGAAAGGAGCAGGAAGAAACGGGCAAGGGUAGGAGAGAAGCAGAAAAAACAAUCCCUGAGACAGAGCUGGUGUAACCAAGGCUCUGUUUCCCCCACGGUUUGAGAGUGGGUGAGCCUGACUUCAAGGCCCAGCUCUGUUCAAAGAUAGGACACUGAUUUUCUUCAAGAAGGCAGAGCUGGUGAGUGGCCUCAUGUCUUACCAUCAUGGAAAGGCGAGGGCUGGGGGAGAGAGAAGGGGCAGCCAAGGCCUCAGAGUGGUGUAGGCCUCACCCUUGUGCUCACAUGUCCCAACCACUGCCAGCGGUGCCACCUCUGAAUCCCAGACCCCACAUGUAACCAUCCUCUACCUGGACCACAGGAGGAAGCUCCACGUUCUUUGCCAGGGUUCAGGGUAAGGGGCAUGAUCUAAGUUGGGCAAAAGAGAGUCAUCCUGUUACCUUAAAAAGGAGUCUAGGGUGAGCCCCAGUCUGCUGGUGGCCAUCUUCACCACCUUUGGGGAGAGAUGGCCUGAGCAGACACACAAAGCAAAGAGGUGGAGAGAAACUGUGUCUUUGUGUCAUUGUUUGAGUCCCUGGACCCAGCCCAGUCCCCCCGACUACGCUGAACUUUUCAAUUGUGGAAAACAAUAAAUUCCAUUUAGUUAAGAAAUUUUCAGUUCUGGGUCUUGCAGCUGUGAGCAUUCUGACAACCUUGAUGUUCCAGGCCCUCCUGGGCUAGGUCCAUGAGCUAAUUGCUUGCCCUGCACCUCCAGUGGGAAGGAGCUGCUCACAUCAACUCAGUGUUCCCCAAAGCCACGCCCUUCCUUUCCUGCUUUCACACCACUGCCUACACCAUGCUCUCAUGAAGGCCUGCCCCUUCUCCAAGGCCCAGAUCAAGUCUCUUCUUUAGGAAGUGUUCCUUGGCUAUCACGUUUCGGUGUCAUCAGGUUUCCUCUUUCCUGGUGGCUGGAUUGGAAGGCCUUAGAGGGCAAGGAUCAUAUGUGUUAGAAUUUCUGCAUCCUCCACAAGGCACUUGUGUUCAGUGUAUUUGCUGAAUGAAUGUCACAUUAAAAAGCGUGACCCAGCCGGGUGUGGUGGCUCAUGCCUGUAAUCCCAGCUUUUUGGGAGGCCAAGGCAGGCGGAUCACCUGAGGUCAGGAGUUCAAGACCAGCUUGGCAAACAUGGUGAAACCCCAUUCUCUACUAAAAAAUACAAAAAUUAGCCAGGCAUGGUGGUGUGCGCCUGUAAUUCCAGCUACUCAGGAGGCUGAGGCAGGGGAAUUGCUUGAACCCAGAGGUGGAGAUUGCAGUGAGCCAAGAUCGCACCACUGCACUCCAGCACUCCAGAGCGCACUCUUGUCCACUCGCAACAGAGUGAGACUCCACCUUAAAAAAAAAUAAAAACAACAACACGACUCCUGGCCUAAUGGACUGAUAAGGUAAACAAGAAGAAAGACACAGGCCUGUACACAUAAUAGAAAUUGGGUGUGUACCAGCCUGGGCAACAUGGC
RNAcentral lists this long non-coding RNA (8916 nucleotides) under Homo sapiens (human). RNAcentral describes it as "HSALNT0304309". The record is from RNAcentral. Lineage: Eukaryota; Metazoa; Chordata; Mammalia; Primates; Hominidae.